Molecule: ribosomal RNA, 477 nt
Filed under: uncultured bacterium
Lineage: Bacteria
Description: bacterial SSU rRNA
Rfam family: Bacterial small subunit ribosomal RNA
Source: RNAcentral
GACGAACGCUGGCGGCGCGCUUUAUACAUGCAAGUCGAACGAGAAGCCAGAGCUUGCUCUGGUGGAAAGUGGCGAACGGGUGAGUAACACGUGAGAAACCUGCCCAAAGACUGGGAUAAGCCGAGGAAACUUGGUCUAAUACCGGAUACCUUCUUUUUAUCACAUGUUAAAAAGAAGAAAUGCUCCGGCGCUUUGGGAUGGUCUCGCGACCUAUCAGCUUGUUAGUGAGGUAAAAGCUCACCAAGGCAUCGACGGGUAGCUGGUCUGAGAGGAUGUCCAGCCACAUUGGGACUGAGAUACGGCCCAAACUCCUACGGGAGGCAGCAGUAGGGAAUCUUGCACAAUGAGGGAAACCUUGAUGCAGCGACGCCGCGUGCGGGACGAAGGCCCUAGGGUGUAAACCGCUUCAGUAGGGACGAAAGUGACGGUACCUACAGAAGAAGCCCGGCCAACUAUGUAGCCAGCAGCCGCGGUAAU